This 253-nucleotide ribosomal RNA is filed under the name uncultured bacterium. RNAcentral describes it as "partial 16S ribosomal RNA". It matches the Rfam family "Bacterial small subunit ribosomal RNA", at positions 524 to 776 of the family's 1533-position model. The record is from RNAcentral.
UACGUAGGGUGCGAGCGUUGUCCGGAAUUAUUGAGCGUAAAGGGCUCGUAGGCGGUCUGUUGCGUCGGGAGUGAAAACUCAGGGCUUAACCCUGAGCCUGCUUCCGAUACGGGCAGACUAGAGGUAUGCAGGGGAGAACGGAAUUCCUGGUGUAGCGGUGAAAUGCGCAGAUAUCAGGAGGAACACCGGUGGCGAAGGCGGGUCUCUGGGCAGUAACUGACGCUGAGGAGCGAAAGCGUGGGGAGCAAACAGG